UACAGGUCUCUUUCGAGGCCCUGUAAUUGGAAUGAGCGUAUCCUAAACCCAUGGGUGAGGACCCAUUGGAGGGCAAGUCUGGUGCCAGCAGCCGCGGUAAUUCCAGCUCCAAUAGCGUAUAUUAAAGUUGCUGCAGUUAAAAAGCUCGUAGUUGGAUCUCGGGAGAGGGCUGGCGGUCCGCCGCGAGGUGAGCCACCGCCUGUCCCGCACCCUGCCUCCCGGCGCUCCCCGGAUGUCCUUAACUGGAUGUCCGGCGGGGUCCAGAGCGUUUACUUUGAAAAAAUUAGAGUGUUCAAAGCAGGCUUGCCUCGCCUGAAUACUGCAGCUAGGAAUAAUGGAAUAGGACUCCGGUUCUAUUUUGUGGGUUUCCGGAACCAGGGCCAUGAUUAAGAGGGACGGCCGGGGGCAUUCGUAUUGCGCCGCUAGAGGUGAAAUUCUUGGACCGGCGCAAG
This 452-nucleotide ribosomal RNA is filed under the name Chanos chanos (milkfish). RNAcentral describes it as "SSU rRNA". It matches the Rfam family "Eukaryotic small subunit ribosomal RNA", at positions 484 to 934 of the family's 1831-position model. Lineage: Eukaryota; Metazoa; Chordata; Actinopteri; Gonorynchiformes; Chanidae. The record is from RNAcentral.